UGCCCCAUGGCUGAGUUGGUUACAGCGUCCGACUGUUACGAAGCUCUCGUCACACAAUAAUCGGAAGGUCGAGAGUUCGAGCCUCUCUGGGGCAG
Desarmillaria ectypa is the source of this 95-nucleotide non-coding RNA. The record is from the annotation of a GenBank genome assembly. Lineage: Eukaryota; Fungi; Basidiomycota; Agaricomycetes; Agaricales; Physalacriaceae.